UCCUGUUCCUAAGUACUAGUGCCGCAGGAGUGAUUAGGCUGUACGAGACAUUACCGUAUCUCCUGCUGCUCAAGUGCUUAUCAACGGGU
RNAcentral lists this microRNA precursor (89 nucleotides) under Mycetomoellerius zeteki. RNAcentral's name for it is "Trachymyrmex zeteki mir-252 microRNA precursor family". It matches the Rfam family "mir-252 microRNA precursor family". The record is from Rfam by way of RNAcentral. Lineage: Eukaryota; Metazoa; Arthropoda; Insecta; Hymenoptera; Formicidae.